AACACAUGCAAGUCGAACGGAAACGACAAGAGCUUGCUCUUGGGCGUCGAGUGGCGGACGGGUGAGUAACGCGUAGGAAUCUGCCUGAUAGUGGGGGAUAGCCCAGAGAAAUCUGGAUUAAUACCCGCAUAAUAUCUAUGGAUUAAAGUGGAGGAUCUUCGGACUUCACGCUAUCAGAUGAGCCUGCGUAAGAUUAGUUUGUUGGUGAGGUAAAGGCUCACCAAGGCGACGAUCUUUAGCUGGUCUGAGAGGAUGAUCAGCCACACUGGGACUGAGACACGGCCCAGACUCCUACGGGAGGCAGCAGUGGGGAAUAUUGGACAAUGGGGGCAACCCUGAUCCAGCAAUACCGCGUGUGUGAAGAAGGCCUGAGGGUUGUAAAGCACUUUCAAUUGUGAAGAAAAGCUAGUAGUUAAUACUUAUUAGCCUUGACGUUAACUUUAGAAGAAGCACCGCUAACU
Molecule: ribosomal RNA, 461 nt
Filed under: uncultured bacterium
Lineage: Bacteria
Description: bacterial SSU rRNA
Rfam family: Bacterial small subunit ribosomal RNA
Source: RNAcentral